Molecule: ribosomal RNA, 210 nt
Filed under: uncultured bacterium
Lineage: Bacteria
Description: partial 16S ribosomal RNA
Rfam family: Bacterial small subunit ribosomal RNA
Source: RNAcentral
UAACACGUGGGGAUCUACCUCUUUGUGGGGAACAACACGCUGAAAGGCGUGCUAAUACCGCAUAAGCUCAGAAAUGAGGAAAGCAGAAAUGCGCAGAGAGAGGAACCUGCGGCUGAUUAGCUAGUUGGUGGGGUAAAGGCUUACCAAGGCGAUGAUCAGUAGCUGGUCUGAGAGGACAGCCAGCCACACUGGGACUGCGAUACGGCCCAG